CUGCAUGAGAAGCAAAAACUUGCAGGGCGAAGAAGCAGUUCUCUCGUUUGUAGCCGCUUUUCUUGGUUAAAAUCAGUCAUGACGUCAAGGCAACUCUUCAUUAGCUACCUGCUUCUCAGCUUCCUCACGGCAAUGACCUCAGGAGUGUGGUGGAGACCAUUCAGGCC
Dermacentor albipictus is the source of this 167-nucleotide non-coding RNA. NCBI's taxonomy places the organism in Eukaryota, Metazoa, Arthropoda, Arachnida, Ixodida, Ixodidae. The record is from RefSeq and is a predicted model, not a curated record.